AACGAACGCUGGCGGCAUGCCUAACACAUGCAAGUCGAACGAGACCUUCGGGUCUAGUGGCGCACGGGUGCGUAACGCGUGGGAAUCUGCCCUUGGGUUCGGAAUAACAGUUAGAAAUGACUGCUAAUACCGGAUGAUGACGUAAGUCCAAAGAUUUAUCGCCCAGGGAUGAGCCCGCGUAGGAUUAGCUAGUUGGUGAGGUAAAGGCUCACCAAGGCGACGAUCCUUAGCGGUCUGAGAGGAUGAUCAGCCACACUGGGACUGAGACACGGCCCAGACUCCUACGGGAGGCAGCAGUGGGGAAUAUUGGACAAUGGGCGAAAGCCUGAUCCAGCAAUGCCGCGUGAGUGAUGAAGGCCUUAGGGUUGUAAAGCUCUUUUACCCGGGAUGAUAAUGACAGUACCGGGAGAA
RNAcentral lists this ribosomal RNA (411 nucleotides) under uncultured bacterium. RNAcentral describes it as "bacterial SSU rRNA". It matches the Rfam family "Bacterial small subunit ribosomal RNA", at positions 29 to 486 of the family's 1533-position model. The record is from RNAcentral.